Molecule: ribosomal RNA, 468 nt
Filed under: uncultured organism
Description: partial 16S ribosomal RNA
Rfam family: Bacterial small subunit ribosomal RNA
Source: RNAcentral
UACACUCCUACGGGAGGCAGCAGUGAGGAAUAUUGGACAAUGGGUGGAAGCCUGAUCCAGCCAUCCCGCGUGCAGGAAGACGGCCCUAUGGGUUGUAAACUGCUUUUAUCUGGGGAUAAACCUACUUACGUGUAAGUAGCUGAAGGUACCAGAAGAAUAAGCACCGGCUAACUCCGUGCCAGCAGCCGCGGUAAUACGGAGGGUGCAAGCGUUAUCCGGAUUUAUUGGGUUUAAAGGGUCCGUAGGCGGACUGAUAAGUCAGUGGUGAAAUCCGACAGCUUAACUGUCGAACUGCCAUUGAUACUGUUAGUCUUGAGUAAGGUUGAAGUGGCUGGAAUAAGUAGUGUAGCGGUGAAAUGCAUAGAUAUUACUUAGAACACCAAUUGCGAAGGCAGAUCACUAAGUCUUAACUGACGCUGAUGGACGAAAGCGUGGGGAGCGAACAGGAUUAGAAACCCCGGUAGUCCC